This 245-nucleotide ribosomal RNA is filed under the name uncultured bacterium. RNAcentral's name for it is "partial 16S ribosomal RNA". It matches the Rfam family "Bacterial small subunit ribosomal RNA", at positions 1247 to 1500 of the family's 1533-position model. The record is from RNAcentral.
AUGCUACCGGGCGACCGGAUGCGGAUCUCGAAAGCCUGUCCCAGUUCGGACUGGAGUCUGCAACCCGACUCCACGAAGUUGGAUUCGCUAGUAAUCGCGCAUCAGCCAUGGCGCGGUGAAUACGUUCCCGGGCCUUGUACACACCGCCCGUCAAGCCAUGGGAGCCGGGGGCGCCUGAAGUCCGGGACCGCGAGGACCGGCCUAGGGCGAAACUGGUAACUGGGGCUAAGUCGUAACAAGGUACC